RNAcentral lists this ribosomal RNA (1238 nucleotides) under Ateuchotermes retifaciens. RNAcentral describes it as "16S ribosomal RNA". The stretch from base 807 to 1238 matches the Rfam family "Bacterial large subunit ribosomal RNA", at positions 2048 to 2699 of the family's 2925-position model. The record is from RNAcentral. Lineage: Eukaryota; Metazoa; Arthropoda; Insecta; Blattodea; Termitidae.
UUGGUUGUCUUGCUAUUUGAUUUGUUGUAUUUAUAUUGAUUGUUGUUGUUGAAAAAUCAUUUAUGUUAUUGUAUUUUUGUGAUUUAAUUUUUUGUGCUAUAGUUUAUUUGUACCGUGUGGGGUCGAUGUGUUUUAGUAUUUUUAGAAGUUUAUUUUGUUUAUUGUACCUUGUGUAUCAGGGUUCAUUGAAUUUUAUUAUUUAUUUUUAUUUCCCGAUUUUAAAGGAGUUAAUGGUUUAUGUUAGUUACUGUUUUAUUAGUAUUAAUAAUUGGCUGUUGGUAGUGAAAUGUUAAUCGUCUUUAGUGGUUUCUGGUUUUUCGGGAAAUGAAUUUAAUUCAUGCUCCUUAUUUAAUUUUUACUUUUAUGUAUGUUUUUUUAUUUGGUGUUAAGAUUAAGGGGGAUUAGCUCCUUAUUUAAUUUUUAUAAUUUUUGGUUUAAUUUAGUUUGGUGGAUUUUAUAGUGAUUUUCGAUUUGAUUAUGUUAAAGUUUUAUUUGUUUAUUUCUUUAUUUGUUUUUAUUUAAUUUGUUUACUGGGAUGCUUUUUUUGCUUUGUAUUGAAUGGUAAUUAUUGUGUAAUUAGUAAAUUUUCUUAUAUGUUGUUUUUGGUGUGUUAGAUUCUUUUGAGGAAUUCGGCAAAGUUUCAUGCCCGCCUGUUUANNNNNNNNNNNNNNNNNUGAAGGGCCGCGGUAUUUUGACCGUGCAAAGGUAGCAUAAUCAUUAGUUCUUUAAUUGUGAUCUGGUAUGAAUGGUUUGACGAGGUAUGUGCUGUCUUAAAGUUGUUUGGAUAAAUUUAGUUGAAUUUGGUUUUUGAGUUAAAAUUCUUAGAUGUUUUUAUGGGACGAGAAGACCCUAUAGAGUUUUACAUUUAGUGUUUAUUUUUAUUGUUGUUAGUUUGUUUGGUUAAGUAAGUUGAAUGUUUUGUUGGGGUGAUGGGAGGAAUUUGUGUAACUCCUCUUUGUUUAUUUAUAUUUAUGUGUAUUUGUUUUGAUCCAUUUAUUUUGAUUAUAAGAUUAAAUUACCUUAGGGAUAACAGCGUUAUCUUCCCUGAGAGUUCUUAUUGGCGGGAAGGAUUGCGACCUCGAUGUUGGAUUAAGGUGAAUUUUCGGUGUAGGAGCUGAGGAUGAUUAGGUCUGUUCGACCUUUAAAAUCUUACAUGAUCUGAGUUCAGACCGGCGUGAGCCAGGUUGGUUUCUAUCUAUAAUAGUGUUAUUAUAUCUUAGUACGAGAGGACCGGAUAU